UAAAAAAAAAACAUUGUGGAUUUGGUACCUC
RNAcentral lists this non-coding RNA (31 nucleotides) under Mus musculus (house mouse). The record is from RNAcentral. Lineage: Eukaryota; Metazoa; Chordata; Mammalia; Rodentia; Muridae.